Molecule: ribosomal RNA, 491 nt
Filed under: uncultured bacterium
Lineage: Bacteria
Description: bacterial SSU rRNA
Rfam family: Bacterial small subunit ribosomal RNA
Source: RNAcentral
AUUGAACGCUGGCGGUAUGCUUAAGACAUGCAAGUCGAACGGUAACAGGUUAAGCUGACGAGUGGCGGACGAGUGAGUAACGCGUGGGAAUCUACCUUGUAGUGGGGGAUAAGCCAGGGAAACUUGGACUAAUACCGCAUACGCCCUAAGGGGGAAAGGAGCAAUUCGCUAUAAGAUGAGCCCGCGUCUGAUUAGGUAGUUGGUGGGGUAAAGGCCUACCAAGCCGACGAUCAGUAGCUGGUCUGAGAGGAUGAUCAGCCACGUCGGGACUGAGACACGGCCCGGACUCCUACGGGAGGCAGCAGUCGGGAAUAUUGGACAAUGGGGGAAACCCUGAUCCAGCAAUACCGCGUGUGUGAAGAAGGCCUGCGGGUUGUAAAGCACUUUCGGCCGGGAAGAAAUCGUAUGGGUUAAUACCCUGUGCGGAUGACGGUACCGGCAUAAGAAGCACCGGCUAACUACGUGCCAGCAGCCGCGGUAAAAGUCUCUAU